UUGGCCUACGGGGGGCAGCAGCCGCGGUAAUACGGAGGAUGCGAGCGUUAUCCGGAUUUAUUGGGUUUAAAGGGUGCGUAGGCGGAAGAUCAAGUCAGCGGUAAAAUUGAGAGGCUCAACCUCUUCGAGCCGUUGAAACUGGUUUUCUUGAGUGAGCGAGAAGUAUGCGGAAUGCGUGGUGUAGCGGUGAAAUGCAUAGUUAUCACGCAGAACUCCGAUUGCGAAGGCAGCAUACCGGCGCUCAACUGACGCUCAUGCACGAAAGUGUGGGUAUCGAACAGGAUUAGAUACCCCUGUAGUCCAAG
Molecule: ribosomal RNA, 305 nt
Filed under: uncultured bacterium
Lineage: Bacteria
Description: bacterial SSU rRNA
Rfam family: Bacterial small subunit ribosomal RNA
Source: RNAcentral